This 423-nucleotide ribosomal RNA is filed under the name Triticum aestivum (bread wheat). RNAcentral describes it as "partial small subunit ribosomal RNA". The record is from RNAcentral. Lineage: Eukaryota; Viridiplantae; Streptophyta; Magnoliopsida; Poales; Poaceae.
UGGAGAGGGGUAUCACUGCCAAGGAGCAGCAGGUUAGUGAUCGUCCAAUCGGUCCUCUGCGCCAUCCCAAUUCACGCCAUGCUCGCUCUCCAACUACCACCCAAGACGGUCAGGGUGAUUGAUAAGAUAUGUUGAGGAUUCUUAUGGUCUGGCGCUGGCGAGGACAAUGGUAGGCAAUGCAUGGUGUCUUGGAAAACAGUAUGUAUGCCAACGUGGGCGGGUGGCCUCCACAUUCCCGACUUACAACGGCUGAACCUGGCACUGCAAGCGAGGUUCCCUUGGUUGCAGGGUACUGAUGACUCCCGAUGUAAGGGGCUUGACAUUAGGGUUCUAGUAGAGGCAAAAAGGAUAUUAAGCAGCCACAAUCACUAUUGGUGGGUGAUACCUCCAUUUUGCAUCAUGUUUUUCUACUUUUAUUUAUAA